UUUUAUUGCCUAGUGGUAUUUUGACCUUGAUAUGCAGGAAGGUUCGGUCUGCAGACAUUAUGAUUCACCUGGAAAUCACAACAGAAACAGGACCUCAUCCCCUUUCCUGAAGAACUAAUCAUCAGACAACAAGCCAGGUCAAGAGCAAACACACCUGGCCCCACGCUGACCAAAGCUUCGCUUUAUCACCUGGUAUGGUCAUAAAUGGCAGAGUUCUGUCAGUGCUGUGAAGUCUUGGAUUCUGUUAUUACGUCUGUGGAUGCUGCUCUACCUGGCUUCUCUGCAAUUAGCGCUAAGAAACGGAAACUCUUCAUCUGUCAGGAAAGCAUGCUAGAUAUUACUGAACAUGAUCGGGUGAAGAAGACAAGAUGCUUGCCCACCCCCAGCCCAUCCUUAGGGGAGCCCAUCAUUCAAGCACCCAGAGGGUUAGCUGGUGAACAUUCCCAUGUGUGUAAAAGUGGAGGGGGAAACUAAGGAGUGGCAGCAAAUGGAGAUGAUUCUGGGACUGAUUCCUAAGACAGAUAAGGAUAACAAGUUAUGACAACAACCAAGUGUCCCUCACCAUCUGGUUCUACAAGGAUGAAGUCACCAGCCGCUGCAGUCGCUGACCUUAAUACACCCUGAAAGGAGGUCAGGGUGGAGGUCAGGAAUGACACACACUGUGUUCCAGGAAAACUGACAGAACAGGUCUUCAGACACUUAGACGUUUCUAGGAGCAAAUUUUAUGAACCUGAUUUUUUGCAUCUUCUCAUACCUAGAAAAGCACUAAAGUCCUUAACGGGGACAUCUGCUCCUCAUGACUAACAGCAUCCUUCUACCAAGAUGUGCGCUUAUUCAGUGCAUCCCCUCUUCACCAAAAUCAUAUGUGCACCGACCUCCCACCUUGGCUCUUUGGAACAGCUCCUCAGAGCUGUCCGAGAGGCUGUCACCUGGGCUAUAGUCCUCAAUACGUCCCCCAAUAAAUCUG
Phacochoerus africanus (Common warthog) is the source of this 967-nucleotide long non-coding RNA. RefSeq lists it as uncharacterized. The record is from RefSeq and is a predicted model, not a curated record. The transcript has 5 exons. Lineage: Eukaryota; Metazoa; Chordata; Mammalia; Artiodactyla; Suidae.